AUUGAACGCUGGCGGCAGGCUUAACACAUGCAGGUCGAGCGGAGUGAUGGUGCUUGCACUAUCACUUAGCGGCGGACGGGUGAGUAAUGCUUAGGAAUCUGCCUAUUAGUGGGGGACAACAUCUCGAAAGGGAUGCUAAUACCGCAUACGUCCUACGGGAGAAAGCAGGGGAUCAAUUGUGAACUUGCGCUAUUAGAUGAGCCUAAGUCGGGUUAGCUAGUGGGUGGGGUAAAGGCCUACCAAGGCGACGAUCUGUAGCGGGUCUGAGAGGCUGAUCCGCCACACUGGGACUGAGACACGGCCCAGACUCCUACGGGAGGCAGCAGUGGGGAAUAUUGGACAAUGGGGGGAACCCUGAUCCAGCCAUGCCGCGUGUGUGAAGAAGGCCUUAUGGUUGUAAAGCACUUUAAGCGAGGAGGAGGCUCUUUUGGUUAAUACCCAAGAUGAGUGGACGUUACUCGCAGAAUAAGCACCGGCUAACUCUGUGCCAGCAGCCGCCGUAA
RNAcentral lists this ribosomal RNA (503 nucleotides) under uncultured bacterium. RNAcentral describes it as "partial 16S ribosomal RNA". It matches the Rfam family "Bacterial small subunit ribosomal RNA", at positions 30 to 523 of the family's 1533-position model. The record is from RNAcentral.